Molecule: transfer RNA, 62 nt
Filed under: Andrena nitida
Lineage: Eukaryota; Metazoa; Arthropoda; Insecta; Hymenoptera; Andrenidae
Description: tRNA-Cys
Source: RNAcentral
GUUUCUAUAGUUUAAAGAAAAAUAUUAAAUUGCAAAUUUAAAGAUAAGUGUAUUUAGAAAUU